CAGCAGCAGCCACGGGAAUACGGAGGGGGCUAGCGUUGUUCGGAAUUACUGGGCGUAAAGCGUACGUAGGCGGCUUUGUAAGUUAGAGGUGAAAGCCUGGUGCUCAACACCAGAACUGCCUUUAAGACUGCAUCGCUUGAACGUCGGAGAGGUGAGUGGAAUUCCGAGUGUAGAGGUGAAAUUCGUAGAUAUUCGGAAGAACACCAGUGGCGAAGGCGGCUCACUGGACGACUGUUGACGCUGAGGUACGAAUGCGUGGGGAGCGAACAGGAUUAGAUACCCGUGUAGUCCCUGUCUCUUAUAC
Molecule: ribosomal RNA, 304 nt
Filed under: uncultured bacterium
Lineage: Bacteria
Description: partial 16S ribosomal RNA
Rfam family: Bacterial small subunit ribosomal RNA
Source: RNAcentral